UUUAAAGAGAGUUUGAUCCUGGCUCAGGACGAACGCUGGCGGCGUGCCUAAUACAUGCAAGUCGAACGAACGGAGGAAGAGCUUGCUCUUCCAAUGUUAGUGGCGGACGGGUGAGUAACACGUGGGCAACCUGCCUGUAAGUUGGGGAUAACUCCGGGAAACCGGGGCUAAUACCGAAU
Molecule: ribosomal RNA, 179 nt
Filed under: Listeria monocytogenes
Lineage: Bacteria; Bacillati; Bacillota; Bacilli; Caryophanales; Listeriaceae
Also listed under: 1 other name
Description: partial 16S ribosomal RNA
Rfam family: Bacterial small subunit ribosomal RNA
Source: RNAcentral